This 276-nucleotide ribosomal RNA is filed under the name uncultured bacterium. Its description in RNAcentral is "partial 16S ribosomal RNA". It matches the Rfam family "Bacterial small subunit ribosomal RNA", at positions 333 to 605 of the family's 1533-position model. The record is from RNAcentral.
GCGGCCCUACGGGGCGCAGCAGUGAGGAAUAUUGGUCAAUGGGCUUACGCCUGAACCAGCCAAGUCGCGUGAGGGAAGACUGCCCUAUGGGUUGUAAACCUCUUUUGUCAGGGAGCAACGCCGGCUACGUGUAGCCGGACUGAGAGUACCUGAAGAAAAAGCAUCGGCUAACUCCGUGCCAGCAGCCGCGGUAAUACGGAGGAUGCGAGCGUUAUCCGGAUUUACUGGGGUUAAAGGGUGCGUAGGCGGAAUGCCAAGUCAGCGGUAAAAUAGCGG